Molecule: transfer RNA, 77 nt
Filed under: Candidatus Omnitrophota bacterium
Lineage: Bacteria; Pseudomonadati; Candidatus Omnitrophota
Description: tRNA-Val
Rfam family: tRNA
About the family: Transfer RNA (tRNA) molecules are approximately 80 nucleotides in length.
Source: RNAcentral
GGACGCGUAGCUCAGCUGGUUAGAGCGUUGCGCUCACAUCGCAGAGGUCACAGGUUCAACUCCUGUCGCGUCCACCA